GACGAACGCUGGCGGCGUGCCUAAUACAUGCAAGUUGAGCGCUGAAGGUUGGUACUUGUACCGACUGGAUGAGCAGCGAACGGGUGAGUAACGCGUGGGGAAUCUGCCUUUGAGCGGGGGACAACAUUUGGAAACGAAUGCUAAUACCGCAUAAAAACUUUAAACACAAGUUUUAAGUUUGAAAGAUGCAAUUGCAUCACUCAAAGAUGAUCCCGCGUUGUAUUAGCUAGUUGGUGAGGUAAAGGCCCACCAAGGCGAUGAUACAUAGCCGACCUGAGAGGGUGAUCGGCCACAUUGGGACUGAGAAACGGCCCAAACUCCUACGGGAGGCAGCAGUAGGGAAUCUUCGGCAAUGGACGAAAGUCUGACCGAGCAACGCCGCGUGAGUGAAGAAGGUUUUCGGAUCGUAAAACUCUGUUGGUAGAGAAGAACGUUGGUGAGAGUGGAAAGCUCAUCAAGUGACGGUAACUACCCAGAAAGGGACGGCUAACUACGUG
RNAcentral lists this ribosomal RNA (497 nucleotides) under uncultured bacterium. Its description in RNAcentral is "partial 16S ribosomal RNA". It matches the Rfam family "Bacterial small subunit ribosomal RNA", at positions 28 to 507 of the family's 1533-position model. The record is from RNAcentral.